This is a non-coding RNA of Oryza brachyantha (malo sina), 202 nucleotides long. The record is from Rfam. Lineage: Eukaryota; Viridiplantae; Streptophyta; Magnoliopsida; Poales; Poaceae.
AAUAAGAUAAUUUUUCGUUUUUCUGUGUUCAACAUUUGACCAUUCGUCUUAUUUGAAAAGAUUUUGCGAUUAAUAUUUUUGUUCUCGAUAAAACAUGAAUAGUACUUUAUGCAUGACUAAUUUUUAAAAAUUUUUAUAUAAAUUUUUCAAAUAAGACGAAUAGUCAAAUGUUGGAUACGAAAAAACGAAAAAUGAUCUUAUU